UGAGAUGUCUGAUAUAAAUUUUGCUGAAUGA
RNAcentral lists this non-coding RNA (31 nucleotides) under Mus musculus (house mouse). Lineage: Eukaryota; Metazoa; Chordata; Mammalia; Rodentia; Muridae. The record is from RNAcentral.